GAUGAACGCUGGCGGCGUGCCUAAUACAUGCAAGUCGAGCGAACAGACGAGGAGCUUGCUCCUCUGACGUUAGCGGCGGACGGGUGAGUAACACGUGGAUAACCUACCUAUAUUACGGGGAAAAUUCCGGAAAACCGGAGCAAAUACGGGAUAAUAUAUUGAACCGAUGGGUGAAUUAGAGAAUGACGGUUUUCGUGUCUUUAUUAGAUGGUUCCGCGCCGCAUUAGCUAGUUGGUAAGGUAACGGCAUACCAAGGCAACGAUGCGUAGCCGACCUGAGAGGGGGAUCGGCCACACUGGAACUGAGACACGGUCCAGACUCCUACGGGAGGCAGCAGUAGGGAAUCUUCCGCAAUGGGCGAAAGCCUGACGGAGCAACGCCGCGUGAGUGAUGAAGGUCUUCGGAUCGUAAAACUCUGUUAUUAGGGAAGAACAAAUGUGUAAGUAACUAUGCACGUCUUGACGGUACCUAAUCAGAAAGCCACGGCUAACUACGUG
Molecule: ribosomal RNA, 497 nt
Filed under: uncultured bacterium
Lineage: Bacteria
Description: partial 16S ribosomal RNA
Rfam family: Bacterial small subunit ribosomal RNA
Source: RNAcentral